This is a long non-coding RNA of Gossypium raimondii (Peruvian cotton), 483 nucleotides long. RefSeq lists it as uncharacterized. The transcript has 2 exons. The record is from RefSeq and is a predicted model, not a curated record. NCBI's taxonomy places the organism in Eukaryota, Viridiplantae, Streptophyta, Magnoliopsida, Malvales, Malvaceae.
GUUCCCAUCUUAAAGUUGCUUCCUGUUUGCUUCUACCUGCUAUUCAGCUGAUUGUCGGAAUUAGCCAUCCCUCGUGAAUUUCUCUGCCAUUUUUUAUUGGAAGCUGUAUUGGGCUAGUGGAUUGGUCUUUGACUAGCAAUUUUCUAGGACUAUUCAGGUUGUGGAAGGCUCUCCAGUUUUAUGUAGGCUUCAGCAUUUUCAUGCUUUAUGUGUAUCAAUUCCCUAUAGAGUUCUCAAGUAUGUUACAAUGGAUAGCUGAUUUUGUUGGUCUAUUCAAAAUAUGUUCAACAUCUGAGUGGACUAAAAUUUUCUCUUCUGUUUCUUUUGUACAUUUUUACAUCAUGGUAUGUACUAGUUUUAUUACUAUAGGUUUGAUUCUGUUUAAAGAUUUUAGCUGAACCUUUAAAUGAAAUGCAAUACACUCUUCCCUCUUCCUAGAAUCUUAUAUUAUGAAAUUGACUUCAUUUGAGUCUUUCCUGUGUC